AUACGGAGGGUGCAAGCGUUACUUGGAAUCACUGGGCGUAAAGCGCGCGCAGGCGGUUUGAUAAGUUGGAUGUGAAAUCCUAUGGCUCAACCAUAGAACUGCAUCCAAAACUGUCAAACUAGAGUCUGGGAGAGGAAGAUGGAAUUAGUUGUGUAGGGGUAAAAUCCGUAGAGAUAACUAGGAAUACCAAAAGCGAAGGCGAUCUUCUGGAACAGUACUGACGCUGAGGCGCGAAAGCGUGGGGAGCAAACAGGAUUAGAAACCCUAGUAGUCC
This 274-nucleotide ribosomal RNA is filed under the name uncultured bacterium. Its description in RNAcentral is "partial 16S ribosomal RNA". It matches the Rfam family "Bacterial small subunit ribosomal RNA", at positions 523 to 796 of the family's 1533-position model. The record is from RNAcentral.